GGCACGAAAGCGUGGGGAGCAAACAGGAUUAGAUACCCUGGUAGUCCACGCCGUAAACGAUGUACGCUAGAUCGGUGCGGCUCUGACGCCGGAUCGGUCGAAGUAAAAACGAUAAGCGUACCGCCUGGGGAGUACGGUCGCAAGGCUAAAACUCAAAGGAAUUGACGGGGGCUCACACAAGCGGUGGAGCAUGUUGCUUAAUUCGAGGCAACGCGAAGAACCUUACCUGGGUUUGACAUGGUCGGAUUAACUCCUGGAAACAGGAGCCACGCCCGCAAGGGUGGAACGAUCACAGGUGCUGCAUGGCUGUCGUCAGCUCGUGCUGUGAAGUGUCGGGUUAAGUCCUCUAACGAGCGCAACCCCUGUCGUUAGUUGCUCACGCGUCAUGGCGAGUACUCUAGCGAGACUGCCGGUGUCAAACCGGAGGAAGGUGGGGAUGACGUCAAGUCCUCAUGGCCCUUACAUCCAGGGUUGCAAACGUGCUACAAUGGCGCGCACAAAGCGACGCGAGGCCGCGAGGCGGAGCAAAUCGCAAAAAACGCGCCCCAGUUCGGAUUGCAGGCUGCAACUCGCCUGCAUGAAGUCGGAAUCGCUAGUAAUCGGAGAUCAGCUACGCUCCGGUGAAUAUGUUCCUGAGCCUUGUACACACCGCCCGUCAAGUCAUGGGAGCCGGUAGUGCCCGAAGUCGCCACGAUACUGUGGUGCCUACGGCAAGAUCGGUGACUGGGACUAAGUCGUAACAAGGUAACC
RNAcentral lists this ribosomal RNA (750 nucleotides) under uncultured bacterium. RNAcentral's name for it is "bacterial SSU rRNA". It matches the Rfam family "Bacterial small subunit ribosomal RNA", at positions 750 to 1501 of the family's 1533-position model. The record is from RNAcentral.